RNAcentral lists this ribosomal RNA (420 nucleotides) under uncultured bacterium. RNAcentral's name for it is "bacterial SSU rRNA". It matches the Rfam family "Bacterial small subunit ribosomal RNA", at positions 356 to 773 of the family's 1533-position model. The record is from RNAcentral.
GAGGAAUAUUGGUCAAUGGGCGCAAGCCUGAACCAGCCAUCCCGCGUGAAGGAAGAAGGCGCUAUGCGUUGUAAACUUCUUUUCCAGGGGGCGAACGUUCCGUACGUGUACGGGAGUGACGGUACCCUGGGAAUAAGCAUCGGCUAACUCCGUGCCAGCAGCCGCGGUAAUACGGAGGAUGCGAGCGUUAUCCGGAUUUAUUGGGUUUAAAGGGUGCGUAGGCGGAUUAAUAAGUCAGUGGUGAAAACCUGCAGCUUAACUGUGGAACUGCCGUUGAUACUGUUAGUCUUGAGUAUGGUCAAGGUAGGCGGAAUGUGUAAUGUAGCGGUGAAAUGCUUAGAUAUUACACAGAACACCGAUUGCGAAGGCAGCUUACUGGGCCGUUACUGACGCUGAUGCAUGAAAGCGUGGGGAUCGAAC